RNAcentral lists this ribosomal RNA (484 nucleotides) under uncultured Acholeplasma sp. RNAcentral describes it as "bacterial SSU rRNA". It matches the Rfam family "Bacterial small subunit ribosomal RNA", at positions 893 to 1382 of the family's 1533-position model. The record is from RNAcentral. Lineage: Bacteria; Bacillati; Mycoplasmatota; Mollicutes; Acholeplasmatales; Acholeplasmataceae.
UCAGAAACUUAAAGGAAUUGACGGGACCCCGCACAAGCGGUGGAUCAUGUUGUUUAAUUCGAUGAUACGCGAAGAACCUUACCAGGUCUUGACAUCCCCCGCGAUGCUUUAGAGAUAAAGCGGAGGUAUUCGGGGAGACAGGUGGUGCAUGGUUGUCGUCAGCUCGUGUCGUGAGAUGUUGGGUUAAGUCCCGCAACGAGCGCAACCCCUAUUGCUAGUUACCAUCAUUAAGUUGGGGACUCUAGCGAGACUGCCAGUGAUAAACUGGAGGAAGGUGGGGAUGACGUCAAAUCAUCAUGCCCCUUAUGACCUGGGCUACAAACGUGAUACAAUGGCUGGAACAAAGGGAUGCGAAGCAGUGAUGUGGAGCGAAACCCAUAAAAACAGUCUCAGUUCGGAUUGAAGUCUGCAACUCGACUUCAUGAAGUCGGAAUCGCUAGUAAUCGCGGAUCAGAACGCCGCGGUGAAUACGUUCUCGGGGUUU